Molecule: ribosomal RNA, 751 nt
Filed under: uncultured Filifactor sp.
Lineage: Bacteria; Bacillati; Bacillota; Clostridia; Peptostreptococcales; Filifactoraceae
Description: bacterial SSU rRNA
Rfam family: Bacterial small subunit ribosomal RNA
Source: RNAcentral
GAUGAACGCUGGCGGCGUGCUUAACACAUGCAAGUCGAACGAACGACUAUUAACAGAACCUUUCGGGGCGAAGAUGAUAGAAGUUAGUGGCGGACGGGUGCGUAACGCGUGGGUAAUCUGCCUUUGUCAAAGGAAUAACUAUUCGAAAGAAUAGCUAAAACCGUAUAACAUAUUAAUAGGGCAUCCUAAUAAUAUCAAAACUGAGGUGGACAAAGAUGAGCCCGCGUCUGAUUAGCUAGUUGGUGAGAUAAAAGCCCACCAAGGCAACGAUCAGUAGCCGACCUGAGAGGGUGAACGGCCACAUUGGAACUGAGACACGGUCCAAACUCCUACGGGAGGCAGCAGUGGGGAAUAUUGCACAAUGGGGGGAACCCUGAUGCAGCAACGCCGCGUGAGUGAAGAAGGCAUUCGUGUCGUAAAACUCUGUAGUAGGGGAAGAAAGAAAUGACAGUACCCUAAAAGAAAGCCCCGGCUAACUACGUGCCAGCAGCCGCGGUAAUACGUAGGGGGCAAGCGUUAUCCGGAAUAACUGGGCGUAAAGGGUGCGCAGGUGGUUUAACAAGUUAGUGGUGAAAGGCAUAGGCUCAACCAAUGUAAGCCAUUAAAACUGUUUAACUUGAGUGCAGGAGAGGAAAGUGGAAUUCCUAGUGUAGCGGUGAAAUGCGUAGAUAUUAGGAGGAAUACCAGUGGCGAAGGCGACUUUCUGGACUGCAACUGACACUGAGGCACGAAAGCGUGGGGAGCAAACAGG